CAGGCCUACGGGACGCAGCAGUGGGGAAUAUUGGGCAAUGGGCGCAAGCCUGACCCAGCAACGCCGCGUGAAGGAAGAAGGCUUUCGGGUCGUAAACUUCUUUUCUCAGGGACGAAGCAAGUGACGGUACCUGAGGAAUAAGCCACGGCUAACUACGUGCCAGCAGCCGCGGUAAUACGUAGGUGGCAAGCGUUAUCCGGAUUUACUGGGUGUAAAGGGCGUGUAGGCGGGAAAGCAAGUCAGAUGUGAAAACCACGGACUCAACCUGUGGCCUGCAUUUGAAACUGGUUUUCUUGAGUACUGGA
Molecule: ribosomal RNA, 305 nt
Filed under: uncultured bacterium
Lineage: Bacteria
Description: bacterial SSU rRNA
Rfam family: Bacterial small subunit ribosomal RNA
Source: RNAcentral